GGGUCGUUAGCUCAGUUGGUAGAGCAGUUGACGAGCAGUUGACUUUUAAUCAAUUGGUCGCAGGUUCGAAUCCUGCACGACCCACCA
Molecule: transfer RNA, 87 nt
Filed under: Klebsiella grimontii
Lineage: Bacteria; Pseudomonadati; Pseudomonadota; Gammaproteobacteria; Enterobacterales; Enterobacteriaceae
Description: tRNA-Lys
Rfam family: tRNA
About the family: Transfer RNA (tRNA) molecules are approximately 80 nucleotides in length.
Source: RNAcentral